AUUGAACGCUGGCGGCAGGCCUAACACAUGCAAGUCGAGCGGAUGAAGGGAGCUUGCUCCUGGAUUCAGCGGCGGACGGGUGAGUAAUGCCUAGGAAUCUGCCUGGUCGUGGGGGAUAACGUCCGGACACGGGCGCUAAUACCGCAUACGUCCUGAGGGAGAAAGUGGGGGAUCUUCGGACCUCACGCUCUCAGAUGAGCCUAGGGCGGAUUAGCUAGUUGGUGGGGUAAAGGCCUACCAAGGCGACGAUCCGUAACUGGUCUGAGAGGAUGAUCAGUCACACUGGAACUGAGACACGGUCCAGACUCCUACGGGAGGCAGCAGUGGGGAAUAUUGGACAAUGGGCGAAAGCCUGAUCCAGCCAUGCCGCGUGUGUGAAGAAGGUCUUCGGAUUGUAAAGCACUUUAAGUUGGGAGGAAGGGCAGUAAGUUAAUACCUUGCUGUUUUGACGUUACCAACAGAAUAAGCACCGGCUAACUUCGUG
This 484-nucleotide ribosomal RNA is filed under the name uncultured bacterium. Its description in RNAcentral is "partial 16S ribosomal RNA". It matches the Rfam family "Bacterial small subunit ribosomal RNA", at positions 30 to 507 of the family's 1533-position model. The record is from RNAcentral.